This 430-nucleotide small RNA is filed under the name Drosophila ananassae. RNAcentral's name for it is "GF28022". The record is from RNAcentral. Lineage: Eukaryota; Metazoa; Arthropoda; Insecta; Diptera; Drosophilidae.
GAAGCUCUAGUAACCUCAGAUUUCAAACUCAAACACUAUUAUAAUAUCCAAAUAUUAUAGAUUCUAUAUUAUAGACAUACAUAUUAGGAAGCAUCUUCUUUAAUAUCGAAUAUAACGAAAAACAAACGCAAACUCUUUGAAUUUUUUAUUCAUUUUUAAGAGCACAAUUUUUAAAAUGAAUCGCCAAAGAAAAUCGAAAGGCUUGCAGCGUAAGAGUGAUGUCACCGUGAGGCUCGUGAUUAUCAGCCAUGAUCGCCUCUAUCCGGGCAUUAUCCUGGGGGCGGAGAGCCGCCUCCAUGCCCUGACUUCCAUGCAUCCGUUGCGCUUCCUGGAUUUCUGACGCAGCCAAGGCCAUAUUCAUUGAUUUCUGUUUUAUAUCUGUGUCCAAAUUGUCAUGCUCUAUAUAGUGGAAUAUUAUUAUAUUGCUGGA